UUGACCUCAAAUCAGGUAGGACUACCCGCUGAACUUAAGCAUAUCAAUAAGCGGAGGAAAAGAAACUAACAAGGAUUCCCCUAGUAACUGCGAGUGAAGCGGGAAAAGCUCAAAUUUAAAAUCUGGCGGUUCUUGUGGCCGUCCGAGUUGUAAUUUAGAGAAGUGUUAUCCGCGCUGGACCGUGUACAAGUCUCCUGGAAUGGAGCGUCAUAGAGGGUGAGAAUCCCGUCUUUGACACGGACUGCCAGGGCAUUGUGAUGCGCUCUCGAAGAGUCGAGUUGUUUGGGAAUGCAGCUCAAAAUGGGUGGUAAAUUCCAUCUAAAGCUAAAUAUUGGGGAGAGACCGAUAGCGAACAAGUACCGUGAGGGAAAGAUGAAAAGAACUUUGGAAAGAGAGUUAAACAGUACGUGAAAUUGCUGAAAGGGAAACGCUUGAAGUCAGUCGCGUCGUUCAGGACUCAGCCUUGCUUUUGCUUGGUGUACUUCUUGUUCGACGGGUCAGCAUCAAUUUUGGUCGGUGGAUAAAGGCUUAGAGAAUGUGGCAUCUUCGGGUGUGUUAUAGCUCUGGGUCGCAUACAUCGGCUGGGAUUGAGGAACUCAGCACGCCGCAAGGCCGGGUACUUGUACCACGUACGUGCUUAGGAUGCUGGCAUAAUGGCUUUAAUCGACCCGUC
Molecule: ribosomal RNA, 673 nt
Filed under: Mycena epipterygia
Lineage: Eukaryota; Fungi; Basidiomycota; Agaricomycetes; Agaricales; Mycenaceae
Description: eukaryotic LSU rRNA
Rfam family: Eukaryotic large subunit ribosomal RNA
Source: RNAcentral